This 762-nucleotide ribosomal RNA is filed under the name Prevotella melaninogenica. Its description in RNAcentral is "bacterial SSU rRNA". It matches the Rfam family "Bacterial small subunit ribosomal RNA", at positions 28 to 776 of the family's 1533-position model. Lineage: Bacteria; Pseudomonadati; Bacteroidota; Bacteroidia; Bacteroidales; Prevotellaceae. The record is from RNAcentral.
GAUGAACGCUAGCUACAGGCUUAACACAUGCAAGUCGAGGGGAAACGGCAUUGAGUGCUUGCACUCUUUGGACGUCGACCGGCGCACGGGUGAGUAACGCGUAUCCAACCUUCCCAUUACUGUGGGAUAACCUGCCGAAAGGCAGACUAAUACCGCAUAGUCUUCGAUGACGGCAUCAGAUUUGAAGUAAAGAUUUAUCGGUAAUGGAUGGGGAUGCGUCUGAUUAGCUUGUUGGCGGGGUAACGGCCCACCAAGGCAACGAUCAGUAGGGGUUCUGAGAGGAAGGUCCCCCACAUUGGAACUGAGACACGGUCCAAACUCCUACGGGAGGCAGCAGUGAGGAAUAUUGGUCAAUGGACGGAAGUCUGAACCAGCCAAGUAGCGUGCAGGAUGACGGCCCUAUGGGUUGUAAACUGCUUUUGUAUGGGGAUAAAGUUAGGGACGUGUCCCUAUUUGCAGGUACCAUACGAAUAAGGACCGGCUAAUUCCGUGCCAGCAGCCGCGGUAAUACGGAAGGUCCAGGCGUUAUCCGGAUUUAUUGGGUUUAAAGGGAGCGUAGGCUGGAGAUUAAGUGUGUUGUGAAAUGUAGACGCUCAACGUCUGAAUUGCAGCGCAUACUGGUUUCCUUGAGUACGCACAACGUUGGCGGAAUUCGUCGUGUAUCGGUGAAAUGCUUAGAUAUGACGAAUAACUCCUAUUGCGAAGGCAGCUGACGGGAGCGCAACUGACGUGUAAGCUCGAAGGUGCGGGGUAUCAAACAUG